This 253-nucleotide ribosomal RNA is filed under the name uncultured bacterium. RNAcentral describes it as "partial 16S ribosomal RNA". It matches the Rfam family "Bacterial small subunit ribosomal RNA", at positions 524 to 776 of the family's 1533-position model. The record is from RNAcentral.
UACGUAGGAGGCGAGCGUUGUCCGGAAUCACUGGGCGUAAAGCGCGUGUAGGCGGGAAGGCAAGUCUGCUGUGAAAGCGCCUGGCUUAACCGGGCGAGGUCGGCGGAAACUGCUUACCUGGAGGACGGUAGAGGGGGGUGGAAUUCCACGUGUAGCGGUGAAAUGCGUAGAGAUGUGGAGGAACACCAGUGGCGAAGGCGGCUUUCUGGUCUGUAACUGACGCUGAGGCGCGAAAGCGUGGGGAGCAAACAGG